RNAcentral lists this ribosomal RNA (229 nucleotides) under uncultured bacterium. RNAcentral's name for it is "partial 16S ribosomal RNA". It matches the Rfam family "Bacterial small subunit ribosomal RNA", at positions 568 to 796 of the family's 1533-position model. The record is from RNAcentral.
UACGUAGGCGGAAAAUUAAGUCAGUGGUGAAAUCCUGCAGCUUAACUGUAGAACUGUCAUUGAUACUGGUUUUCUUGAAUACAGUUGAGGUAGGCGGAAUGUGUAAUGUAGCGGUGAAAUGCUUAGAUAUUACACAGAACACCGAUUGCGAAGGCAACUUACUAAACUGUUAUUGACGCUGAGGUACGAAAGCGUGGGGAGCGAACAGGAUUAGAUACCCUGGUAGUCC